Molecule: long non-coding RNA, 1284 nt
Organism: Canis lupus familiaris (dog)
Lineage: Eukaryota; Metazoa; Chordata; Mammalia; Carnivora; Canidae
Exons: 3
Source: RefSeq, a predicted model, not a curated record
GGGAGCCCAACGUGGGACUCCAUCCCAGGUCUCCAGGAUCACACCCCAGGCUGCAGGUGGAGCUGGUACUACAUUCUGAGGCAAAUGGAGUUUUUCCUGAGAUUCUUCAAUCAGGAAAGGAGAGAGGUCAAAUAAGAGUCUAAAAUUCUCAGAACCGAAGGAAAUCCUCCCACUGUUCUCCGCCAUUCCCUCCUCUCCCACUGACCCCUUACCUCAUUACUGCCUCAGUCUGCUAAAUAUCCACCUUGCCAUGCCCACCUGGCUGCCUCUUUCCCUCCACCUCCCUCCUUGCUGCUUAACCAUCAGUUUUUCAACUGUCUCCCUGUCCCACAAAUGCCUUCACAGGAAAGGCCAGAGGCCCUGGGCUCAGUGGCUGGGGUCUCCACCCUGUGAGCUCUGACGGAAUUUUAGUGCAAUCCAGCAUCGUUCAUCAUUGUCAGGUCUCUGUUGCACUGAGAGAUCGCCACAGCAAGUGCAAAUCCACUGUUCAGACAUCAGAUAGGCAAGUUGUCUUCAUUUCAGAUUCCCAGAAAGGUGACAGUUCUUCUCCCAAGUUAAAACACUUCAGGUCAGAAGCCAGGACACAUGAGAAAUCCUCGUCUUUUUCCAGGCCCAUGUUGGCUUUGGAGUAGCUGGAACCAGGCCCUGAGGUUGUGGCAAGGAAUGCAGCUUUCUCUUACUUGGGCAAAAACUAUGCAGAAUCUCCUAUAAAGGAAUAAGCUUCUCUUCGGAAAUAUGCGGGACAUGCUAUAUAGCACCAGCCAUGGGACAUGGAAAGAGGAGAAAGAGAUUCCCUGUUUUGCAGAGGGAUACCUCAGAACGAGUCACAGAAAAAGCAGGCUUCUGGGAUUUCUCUGCCUCUGUUGUUCUAACCACCAUCUACUCUCAUGUCCCCUAGACCUGUACCCCUAAAGCCAGCCUAUUUAAAAUAAAUCGCCCACAGUCUGUUCAAAAGAGAUUUGUUCUCCUGAAUUUGUCCCAGACUGAAAACUGCACACGUCCAAGGUUUAAGAGCUUAUGUUAGGAGAAAUUGAACAUUAUCUCAGGAUAAUGUUUUCCUACUGCUACUUAAAUUUCCAGAGGCAUUUACAAAAAUUAAACUUCAAUGGGAAGCCAAGUCCUUUAUUUAUGAAGCCAGCAAUAGACAUUGAUCCUGUGAUAAUGUUAUUAUUUUUCUUAUUGCUCUUGUCCAUGUGCAUUUCAUCAUCAUUGGGUUGGAUGAGUAUAGGGUGGCAUGGGGAUAGAAUGUUUAUUGACUUGCAGUUUCUUGGUGCUUUAAAAAAG